AGACGAACCGUCCAAACGUUAUUCGGAAUCACUGGGCUUAAAGGGUGCGUAGGCGGCGUAGUAAGUUGGGUGUGAAAUCCCUCGGCUCAACCGAGGAACUGCGCCCAAUACUGCUAUGCUCGAGGGAGACAGAGGAAAGCGGAACUGAUGGUGGAGCGGUGAAAUGCGUUGAUAUCAUCAGGAACACCGGUGGCGAAAGCGGCUUUCUGGGUCUCUUCUGACGCUGAGGCACGAAAGCUAGGGUAGCGAACGGGAUUAGAAACCCCGGUAGUCC
This 274-nucleotide ribosomal RNA is filed under the name uncultured bacterium. RNAcentral describes it as "partial 16S ribosomal RNA". It matches the Rfam family "Bacterial small subunit ribosomal RNA", at positions 523 to 796 of the family's 1533-position model. The record is from RNAcentral.